GCUGAUGUGGCGCAGCCGGUAGCGCAACUGAUUCGUAAUCAGUAGGUCGUCGGUUCGAAUCCGAUCAUCAGCUCCA
This 76-nucleotide transfer RNA is filed under the name Eubacterium sp. Its description in RNAcentral is "tRNA-Thr". It matches the Rfam family "tRNA". From Rfam's summary of the family: Transfer RNA (tRNA) molecules are approximately 80 nucleotides in length. Their secondary structure includes four short double-helical elements and three loops (D, anti-codon, and T loops). Lineage: Bacteria; Bacillati; Bacillota; Clostridia; Eubacteriales; Eubacteriaceae. The record is from RNAcentral.